UAGGGAAUCUUCCGCAAUGGGCGAAAGCCUGACGGAGCAACGCCGCGUGAGUGAUGAAGGUCUUCGGAUCGUAAAACUCUGUUAUUAGGGAAGAACAAAUGUGUAAGUAACUAUGCACGUCUUGACGGUACCUAAUCAGAAAGCCACGGCUAACUACGUGCCAGCAGCCGCGGUAAUACGUAGGUGGCAAGCGUUAUCCGGAAUUAUUGGGCGUAAAGCGCGCGUAGGCGGUUUUUUAAGUCUGAUGUGAAAGCCCACGGCUCAACCGUGGAGGGUCAUUGGAAACUGGAAAGCUUGAGUGCAGAAGAGGAAAGUGGGAUUCCAUGUGUGGCGGUGAAAUGCGAAGAGAUAUGGAGGAACACCAGUGGCGAAGGCGACUGUCUGGUCUGUAACUGACGCUGAUGUGCGAAAGCGUGGGGAUCAAACAGG
Molecule: ribosomal RNA, 429 nt
Filed under: Actinomycetes bacterium
Lineage: Bacteria; Bacillati; Actinomycetota; Actinomycetes
Description: Actinobacteria bacterium partial 16S ribosomal RNA
Rfam family: Bacterial small subunit ribosomal RNA
Source: RNAcentral